UUGUGAUCUUGUCUUGCUCUGUGCUGACAUUAUUCCUGCCUUGCCAUAGUUUCCUGCUUCAUGCCAUGCCAAAUGAAAAAAAUGUUUUCAAGGAGUGGCGGCUAUGAUGAUGCCAUGGGAAAGCCACCACAAUCAAGGGGAAAACCUGGGGCGCCAAGAGACCUAAAAGCCCCCACGCUCGCCGUCUAAGUGAUGUGUAAGGCAAUGAGUGUUUGAAGUGAUGCUUGAAAGGGCAGCAAUAGAAAUGUCUGCUCUGUGCUCAUCUGUACCAGUCUGGAAUUUUAAGUACUUCUACUGCAUUAUUUCCCACAUGAAGAGCAUGCUUUUUGUACCCCAAGAUGCAUUCAUAUAGAGUGGAGAACAAUAACAGGCUUCAGUGGUCUACACAUAAUGAUCAACAUGCUACCUUGACAACCGUGUGUCCUCAAUGAGCUGCUGGAAAUUUUGUUCGAAUGGCCUCAAAAGGGAGACUAAAACACAAAGUCAAAGGCUGACGGGAAGAGACUUUGGUUUUUUCCCUCUCCACAACACUUAACAGCAGCAUCCUUGGGCAAAAGUAAUGUUACGCAAGAUGCAUGAAAAUCACUUGAUAAAAAGUAAAUAAAUAAAUAAAUGGGUUGUACUUGUAUAGCGCUUUUCUACCUUCAAGGUACUCAAAGCGCUUUGACACUACUUCCACAUUUACCCAUUCACACACACAUUCACACACUGAUGGAGGGAGCUGCCAUGCAAGGCGCCAACCAGCACCCAUCAGGAGCAAGGGUGAAGUGUCUUGCUCAGGACACAACGGACGUGACGAGGUUGGUACUAGGUGGGAUUUGAACCAGGUACCCUCGGGU
Molecule: long non-coding RNA, 839 nt
Organism: Nerophis ophidion (straightnose pipefish)
Lineage: Eukaryota; Metazoa; Chordata; Actinopteri; Syngnathiformes; Syngnathidae
Exons: 3
Source: RefSeq, a predicted model, not a curated record